UACGGUGGGGGCAAGCGUUGUUCGGAAUUACUGGGCGUAAAGGGCUCGUAGGCGGCCAACUAAGUCGGAUGUGAAAUCCCCAGGCUCAACUUGGGAACUGCAUCCGAUACUGGAUGGCUUGAAUUCGGGAGAGGGAUGCAGAAUUCCAGGUGUAGCGGUGAAAUGCGUAGAUAUCUGGAGGAAUACCGGUGGCGAAGGCGGCAUCCUGGACCGACAUUGACGCUGAGGAGCGAAAGCUAGGGGAGCAAACGGG
RNAcentral lists this ribosomal RNA (253 nucleotides) under uncultured bacterium. Its description in RNAcentral is "partial 16S ribosomal RNA". It matches the Rfam family "Bacterial small subunit ribosomal RNA", at positions 524 to 776 of the family's 1533-position model. The record is from RNAcentral.